GCCCAGAUGGCGAAAUUGGUAGACGCGCAUGGUUCAGGUCCAUGUGUCUUUAGUGACAUGGAGGUUCAAGUCCUCUUCUGGGCACCA
Molecule: transfer RNA, 87 nt
Filed under: Candidatus Kinetoplastidibacterium stringomonadis TCC290E
Lineage: Bacteria; Pseudomonadati; Pseudomonadota; Betaproteobacteria
Description: tRNA-Leu (CAG) (tRNA-Leu-CAG-1-1)
Rfam family: tRNA
About the family: Transfer RNA (tRNA) molecules are approximately 80 nucleotides in length. Their secondary structure includes four short double-helical elements and three loops (D, anti-codon, and T loops).
Source: RNAcentral